Molecule: ribosomal RNA, 486 nt
Filed under: uncultured bacterium
Lineage: Bacteria
Description: partial 16S ribosomal RNA
Rfam family: Bacterial small subunit ribosomal RNA
Source: RNAcentral
GAUGAACGCUGGCGGCGUGCCUAAUACAUGCAAGUCGAACGCUGGAAAUCUAGCUUGCUAGAUUGAAGGAGUGGCGAACGGGUGAGUAAUACAUAAGCAACCUACCCACGAAGACUGGGAUAAUCUCUGGAAACGGGGACUAAUACCGGAUAGGUAAUCGGAAGGCAUCUUCUGAUUAUUAAAGGUUACAAACACUGGUGGAUGGGCUUAUGGCGCAUUAGUUAGUUGGUGAGGUAACGGCCCACCAAGACGAUGAUGCGUAGCCGGCCUGAGAGGGUGAACGGCCACAUUGGGACUGAGACACGGCCCAGACUCCUACGGGAGGCAGCAGUAGGGAAUUUUCGGCAAUGGGGGAAACCCUGACCGAGCAACGCCGCGUGAGUGAUGACGGCCUUCGGGUUGUAAAGCUCUGUUGUAAGGGAAGAACGGUAGAUAGAGAAUAUCUAAAUGACGGUACCUUACCAGAAAGCCACGGCUAACUACGUG